GAUGAACGCUGGCGGCGUGCCUAAUACAUGCAAGUCGAGCGAACAGACGAGGAGCUUGCUCCUCUGACGUUAGCGGCGGACGGGUGAGUAACACGUGGAUAACCUACCUAUAAGACUGGGAUAACUUCGGGAAACCGGAGCUAAUACCGGAUAAUAUAUUGAACCGCAUGGUUCAAUAGUGAAAGACGGUUUUGCUAUCACUUAUAGAUGGAUCCGCGCCGCAUUAGCUAGUUGGUAAGGUAACGGCUUACCAAGGCAACGAUGCGUAGCCGACCUGAGAGGGUGAUCGGCCACACUGGAACUGAGACACGGUCAGACUCCUACGGGAGGCAGCAGUAGGGAAUCUUCCGCAAUGGGCGAAAGCCUGACGGAGCAACGCCGCGUGAGUGAUGAAGGUCUUCGGAUCGUAAAACUCUGUUAUUAGGGAAGAACAAAUGUGUAAGUAACUAUGCACGUCUUGACGGUACCUAAUCAGAAAGCCACGGCUAACUACGUG
This 496-nucleotide ribosomal RNA is filed under the name uncultured bacterium. RNAcentral describes it as "partial 16S ribosomal RNA". It matches the Rfam family "Bacterial small subunit ribosomal RNA", at positions 28 to 507 of the family's 1533-position model. The record is from RNAcentral.